GGUUCUUCAGUGCGGGGAAGGAUGAGAAGCUUCGACCAAGGUUCGAUUCGAGCGUAGCGAGAAAAGCGUUGCCGCAGGCAACGACCCGAAGGGCGAAGCGCGAAGCGCUGAGUAAUCCUUCCCCCACCACCA
Molecule: small RNA, 132 nt
Filed under: Enterobacter hormaechei
Lineage: Bacteria; Pseudomonadati; Pseudomonadota; Gammaproteobacteria; Enterobacterales; Enterobacteriaceae
Description: RtT sRNA
Rfam family: RtT RNA
About the family: This family represents a bacterial cis-regulatory element known as RtT RNA. The exact function of RtT is unknown although it is thought that it may be involved in changing the cellular response in relation to amino acid starvation.
Source: RNAcentral